AUGCAGCCAUGCCGCGUGUGUGAAGAAGGCCUUCGGGUUGUAAAGCACUUUCAGUCGUGAGGAAGGCAGCUAAGUUAAUAGCUUAGUUGUUUGACGUUAGCGACAGAAGAAGCACCGGCUAACUCCGUGCCAGCAGCCGCGGUAAUACGGAGGGUGCGAGCGUUAAUCGGAAUUACUGGGCGUAAAGCGCAUGCAGGCGGUCUGUUAAGCAAGAUGUGAAAGCCCGGGGCUUAACCUCGGAACAGCAUUUUGAACUGGCAGGCUAGAGUCUUGUAGAGGGGGGUAGAAUUUCAGGUGUAGCGGUGAAAUGCGUAGAGAUCUGAAGGAAUACCGGUGGCGAAGGCGGCCCCCUGGACAAAGACUGACGCUCAGAUGCGAAAGCGUGGGGAGCAAACAGGAUUAGAUACCCUGGUAGUCCACGCCGUAAACGAUGUCUACUUGGAGGUUGUGGCCUUGAGCCGUGGCUUUCGGAGCUAACGCGUUAAGUAGACCGCCUGGGGAGUACGGUCGCAAGAU
RNAcentral lists this ribosomal RNA (516 nucleotides) under Photobacterium sp. Its description in RNAcentral is "bacterial SSU rRNA". It matches the Rfam family "Bacterial small subunit ribosomal RNA", at positions 386 to 894 of the family's 1533-position model. Lineage: Bacteria; Pseudomonadati; Pseudomonadota; Gammaproteobacteria; Vibrionales; Vibrionaceae. The record is from RNAcentral.